RNAcentral lists this ribosomal RNA (1134 nucleotides) under Triticum aestivum (bread wheat). RNAcentral describes it as "partial small subunit ribosomal RNA". The record is from RNAcentral. Lineage: Eukaryota; Viridiplantae; Streptophyta; Magnoliopsida; Poales; Poaceae.
AUGGUGGCACCAGCUGGGGUUCAUGUCCCACCGCAAGUUAAUUAUCCUCUGCAAGGAGGUGGUGACCAGAUGGUGGCACCAGCUGUGGUUCAUGUCCCUCCGCAAGUUAAUUAUCCUCUGCAAGGGCAUCAGGUUUUUGACAUCAGGCAUGUUGCUCAACUAAGUAGACAGCAUCAAUACUUGGAAAUGGAGAACUAUAUUAUGAGUUUUCUUGAGGGGGGAAAUUUGAGUUCACAUCCAUGGCUAUUCUUGCACAUCCGAAGGGCUUGGGCAAUAUCCUACGUACAAUAUGGAUUAUUUGAUAUCGCUCGAACCUUCUUUGCUGACAGCAUUGCAGCAGCAUUUCUGCCUAUACUGCAGCUUGAUCAGAGUGUGGUGAAGAAUGCGAUGCUUACUGACCUGAAUAGUGAAAUGAAAUACAUAUACUCGUGUGUGAAUGAUCGAAGAUGUUAUAGUCACAUUUACAACGGCGAUGGAAUGCUGGAGAAGCUGGUAAAUGAUUACCUCAUGCUUUACCUACCCAACACUAGGUUUACUACUGAAAGAGGAAAGAGCAAUGGUUUGUGGCAGUUUGCGAUCGAGCUUGAGAGGAAACACAGGCGCCCAACCUUCAGGUGUCUGGUGUGCAGCAUCGAAGUUUUCAAUGGUGGAACAAUAGGCGAUAUGGUCAAGCACUUGCAGGAGGCGUGUGCAGGACCCAAGAUGACUCCUUACCUGAUGGAGAAGUAUCCAGCUAGCAAAGUGGACCUUGAUCGUUUUCAGCUAACUACCCUUACAAUUCAAGCAAGACUUGCGGCGGCGAGUGCAAAUAAGAACCAAGGUAGGAAAAGGAGCAACACAACUGCAACCGACGAUAUUCCUGGUGGAAGCGCUACAGAGGACGCUCCUGGUGAAACGCUAGAGAGUAUUUUGCAGAGGAUGACAACAGAGGUGAAGAGAGCUGAACAAUUAGCUGCCGAGAUGGGUCAGGUUGUCAGGAAUAUGAAUGGAUGUCUAAGUGCAGCACAGGCUGCCGCUGGUACAGGAGCAAGGGACAAUCAGCUUACCAUUGCUGCGCCGCUCAAUGCACCACUACCCCCCUUUGGGAGUGCUCCUAUAUUGGACGAUGACCUUCUGGAUUUUAUUCUGGAUUAG